RNAcentral lists this ribosomal RNA (92 nucleotides) under Paenibacillus taichungensis. RNAcentral's name for it is "partial 23S ribosomal RNA". It matches the Rfam family "Bacterial large subunit ribosomal RNA", at positions 2835 to 2925 of the family's 2925-position model. Lineage: Bacteria; Bacillati; Bacillota; Bacilli; Caryophanales; Paenibacillaceae. The record is from RNAcentral.
CCCUUGAAGACGACGAGGUAGAUAGGCUGGGGGUGGAAGUGCAGCAAUGCAUGGAGCUGACCAGUACUAAUCGGUCGAGGGCUUAUCCAAUA